Molecule: long non-coding RNA, 1263 nt
Filed under: Phascolarctos cinereus (koala)
Lineage: Eukaryota; Metazoa; Chordata; Mammalia; Diprotodontia; Phascolarctidae
Description: lncRNA (ENSPCIG00000035381.1)
Source: RNAcentral
GUGGACUGAGCACUGAGCUGUCCCUGGAGACUUGGAAAGAAGAUGCAGAGAGAGACUGGGAAAGGUUAUACUACGUCCCCCCUCCCUUUUUCCUCCCUUUCCCCCUCCUACGGUCAACCCUUCUCCUUACCCCAGGGAUGUUCGCAGCAUCCUCCCCUUCCAGUUUGCCUUCUCCAGCUAGCAGCAGCCUCCACAAGCGCCUGCUCCUCUCUCUGCUCCCGGGAGCCCGGCCCCCUCUUCCUCUUCUGCAGCAGCUGGGAGGGAGCAACUGGAGGCUGCUGCCGGGCGGCGUCUUGGGGGCCGACAGCCGAGCUACAGAAGCCGCCAUCUGGAGCCUCCAGAGCGGACUGGCUGAAGAGUGGGGGAGAAAGAGAAAGGGCCUGCAGCUCUCCUGGCUCCUAGACUGGGAGAAACGCGAAGUGAAGGAGGUGGAGUGGGCUUCAGAGGGCUUCGGGAGGGGUUUGCCUAGAGUGGUGAGCUAGUUGGAAAGGGUCAGUGUGUGUGUGUGUGUGUGUGUCUGUGGGCGCGCACCCGCUUGUGUGCGAAUGUGCGCGUGUGUGUCCCUGGACCUAUGUGUGUGUGGUCUUUAAAGCGGGGUACCCAGUUAGAACACUGCGUAGGGAAGGAGAGGCCUUUCCUGACCUUUCGGCCUCCAGAGAAGAGAGAAUGGGGUCAGUACACCUAUUACCCUUCCUUUCCUUCCCCUCCCCCUAGGUGAGUGACGGGGAGGUGUGUGUAUAUGUGUGUGUGUGGGUGGGGCGGGGGUCAGACAGGCACAUAUACACAAAGUCAAUGUCUUCUUCAUGUUCUUCCUCUAUGACUGUACCCUGCUCCUCUCCCCACAACAAGGCAGCUUCCUCCAGGCCUUUCCAAGCCAGAAGAUGCUCUGCUCCCUCUGCGGAACAUGGUUACUGCCAGCCUUGGCCUUCAUAGAUUGGUCUUUUAUUAAGUCAGAUUCUGGAAAAGGAUAUUCCUCUGGAGGCAGUUCCGUGUCCAGCCGAAUUGCAUUAUGUAAAGAAUCUGGCAUGUCACCCGGUGGCACAUCUGGUAGGUGUAGAUGGCAUUCAUUAGCACUGGGUUUCUACUCUGCCGCAUGCCAAAGUCCUGACAGGGAUGCCCGCUGCCAAUCAUUCAUUCCCUGCCAGUCCAAAUGUGCGUCCGUGUGGGAUGGCUCCCUUCCACCCUGGCACCAGAACAAGAGGAAACAAUGUGUUUAGAUGCGAAGAGAUGAAAGCAGAGCUGAGUAUGAGAAGCACCCAACAG